RNAcentral lists this ribosomal RNA (748 nucleotides) under uncultured Thermoplasmata archaeon. RNAcentral's name for it is "bacterial SSU rRNA". It matches the Rfam family "Archaeal small subunit ribosomal RNA", at positions 508 to 1258 of the family's 1478-position model. Lineage: Archaea; Methanobacteriati; Thermoplasmatota; Thermoplasmata. The record is from RNAcentral.
GCCUAAAACGUCCGUAGCCGGUUCUAUAAAUGCCUGGGUAAAUCGUAUGGCUUAACCGUACGAAUUCCGGGUAGACUGUUCAACUUGGGACCGGGAGAGGCUAGAGGUACUCCUGGGGUAGAGGUGAAAUUCUGUAAUCCUAGGGGGACCACCAGUGGCGAAGGCGUCUAGCUAGAACGGGUCUGACGGUGAGGGACGAAGCCCUGGGGAGCGAACGGGAUUAGAUACCCCGGUAGUCCAGGGCGUAAACGCUGCUCGCUUGAUGUUAGUCGGGCUCCGAGCCCAACUAGUGUCGGAGAGAAGUUGUUAAGCGAGCUGCCUGGGGAGUACGGUCGCAAGACUGAAACUUAAAGGAAUUGGCGGGGGAGCACCGCAACGGGUGGAGCGUGCGGUUUAAUUGGAUUCAACGCCGGAAAACUCACCGGGGGCGACGGUUAUAUGAAGGCCAGGCUGAUGACCUUGCCUGAUUUUCCGAGAGGUGGUGCAUGGCCGUCGUCAGUUCGCACCGUGAGGCGUUCUGUUAAGUCAGACAACGAACGAGACCCUCAUCUUUAGUUGCAACUGGUAAGUUCGCUUACUAGGCACACUAGAGAAACCGCUGGCGAUAAGUCAGAGGAAGGCGAGGGCAACGGUAGGUCAGUAUGCCCUGAAUCCCCCGGGCUACACGCGCGCUACAAAGGCUAGGACAAUGGGUUUCGACACCGAAAGGUGAAGGUAAUCCCGAAACCUAGUCAUAGUUCGGAUUGAG